Molecule: ribosomal RNA, 503 nt
Filed under: Staphylococcus xylosus
Lineage: Bacteria; Bacillati; Bacillota; Bacilli; Caryophanales; Staphylococcaceae
Description: bacterial SSU rRNA
Rfam family: Bacterial small subunit ribosomal RNA
Source: RNAcentral
UUGCUCCUUUGAGUUAGCGGCGGANGGGUGANUAACACGUGGGUAACCUACCUAUAAGACUGGGAUAACUUCGGGAAACCGGAGCUAAUACCGGAUAACAUUUAGAACCGCAUGGUUCUAAAGUGAAAGAUGGUUUUGCUAUCACUUAUAGAUGGACCCGCGCCGUAUUAGCUAGUUGGUAAGGUAACGGCUUACCAAGGCGACGAUACGUAGCCGACCUGAGAGGGUGAUCGGCCACACUGGAACUGAGACACGGUCCAGACUCCUACGGGAGGCAGCAGUAGGGAAUCUUCCGCAAUGGGCGAAAGCCUGACGGANCAACGCCGCGUGAGUGAUGAAGGGUUUCGGCUCGUAAAACUCUGUUAUUAGGGAAGAACAAAUGUGUAAGUAACUGUGCACAUCUUGACGGUACCUAAUCAGAAAGCCACGGCUAACUACGUGCCAGCAGCCGCGGUAAUACGUNNGUGNCAAGCGUUAUCCGGAAUUAUUGGGCGUAAAGCGCG